CCGCAGUAGCUCAUGGAGAGCACCCGGUACUUAACCGGAAGGCGUGAGUGCGACGGCACUUUGGUUCGAUUCCCGCCUGCGGCA
RNAcentral lists this transfer RNA (84 nucleotides) under Pusillimonas minor. RNAcentral describes it as "Pusillimonas sp. 7-48 tRNA-Lys". Lineage: Bacteria; Pseudomonadati; Pseudomonadota; Betaproteobacteria; Burkholderiales; Alcaligenaceae. The record is from RNAcentral.